UGCAAGUCGAACGGUAACAUUUCUAGCUUGCUAGAAGAUGACGAGUGGCGGACGGGUGAGUAAUGCUUGGGAACUUGCCUUUGCGAGGGGGAUAACAGUUGGAAACGACUGCUAAUACCGCAUAAUGUCUUCGGACCAAACGGGGCUUCGGCUCCGGCGCAAAGAGAGGCCCAAGUGAGAUUAGCUAGUUGGUAAGGUAACGGCUUACCAAGGCGACGAUCUCUAGCUGUUCUGAGAGGAAGAUCAGCCACACUGGGACUGAGACACGGCCCAGACUCCUACGGGAGGCAGCAGUGGGGAAUAUUGCACAAUGGGGGAAACCCUGAUGCAGCCAUGCCGCGUGUGUGAAGAAGGCCUUCGGGUUGUAAAGCACUUUCAGUUGUGAGGAAAAGUUAGUAGCUAAUACCUGCUA
This 412-nucleotide ribosomal RNA is filed under the name Alteromonadales bacterium HOT4B9. RNAcentral's name for it is "bacterial SSU rRNA". It matches the Rfam family "Bacterial small subunit ribosomal RNA", at positions 56 to 477 of the family's 1533-position model. The record is from RNAcentral. Lineage: Bacteria; Pseudomonadati; Pseudomonadota; Gammaproteobacteria; Alteromonadales.